Molecule: ribosomal RNA, 251 nt
Filed under: uncultured bacterium
Lineage: Bacteria
Description: partial 16S ribosomal RNA
Rfam family: Bacterial small subunit ribosomal RNA
Source: RNAcentral
ACGAUCAGUAGGGGUUCUGAGAGGAAGGUCCCCCACACUGGCACUGAGAUACGGGCCAGACUCCUACGGGAGGCAGCAGUAGGGAAUAUUGGGCAAUGGUCGGAAGACUGACCCAGCCAUGCCGCGUGCAGGAAGACGGCCUAUUGGGUUGUAAACUGCUUUUAUCUGGGAAGAAAAAGUCCAUGCGUGGAAAAUUGCCGGUACCAGAUGAAUAAGCACCGGCUAACUCCGUGCCAGCAGCCGCGGUAAUA